AUUGAACGCUGGCGGAAUGCUUUACACAUGCAAGUCGAACGGCAGCACGGACUUCGGUCCGGUGGCGAGUGGCGAACGGGUGAGUAAUGUAUCGGAACGUGCCCAGUCGUGGGGGAUAACGUAGUGAAAAUUACGCUAAUACCGCAUACGAUCUAUGGAUGAAAGCGGGGGAUCGCAAGACCUCGCGCGAUUGGAGCGGCCGAUAUCAGAUUAGGUAGUUGGUGGGGUAAAGGCCCACCAAGCCAACGAUCUGUAGCUGGUAUGAGAGGACGACCAGCCACACUGGAACUGAGACACGGUCCAGACUCCUACGGGAGGCAGCAGUGGGGAAUUUUGGACAAUGGGCGAAAGCCUGAUCCAGCCAUUCCGCGUGCAGGAUCAAGGCCCUCGGGUUGUAAACUGCUUUUGUACAGAACGAAAAGGUUUCUACUAAUACUAGGAGCUCAUGACGGUACUGUAAGAAUAAGCACCGGCUAACUACGUGCCAGCAGCCGCGGUAA
This 500-nucleotide ribosomal RNA is filed under the name uncultured bacterium. Its description in RNAcentral is "partial 16S ribosomal RNA". It matches the Rfam family "Bacterial small subunit ribosomal RNA", at positions 30 to 523 of the family's 1533-position model. The record is from RNAcentral.